RNAcentral lists this long non-coding RNA (241 nucleotides) under Setaria italica (foxtail millet). RNAcentral describes it as "long non-coding RNA (SITA_LNC002197)". Lineage: Eukaryota; Viridiplantae; Streptophyta; Magnoliopsida; Poales; Poaceae. The record is from RNAcentral.
CUGGGAAUUGUUAUAUUCUUGUCUUCCACGCGUGCGUCCAGCAAGUUCACGAGCAUCUUUGGCAGCUGAUGAGCAAGAAAACUGGAAUCGAUCCCUCUUGGCAUGGGGGUGAAGAAACCCGCCAACCGCCCUCUUCGAUCGCAUCCCCGCCUGGCUGCAAGAGAUAAAGAAAACAAGAUUAAAAAUGAGGUUAGCAUAACGGCGUUGGUCAAUCUUGUUUUCGUGGCAGCGGAGAGCUGAG